AUGUGCUUUGGAGUUGUAAGGUGGUAUUUUGUGAAACCAUUUGCCGGUAUUCUGUUGUGGGUUUAAGAACCAGGUUUCACACUUCUCUCAUCAUUUUUUUCUCAAAGAAUCACACCUGAUUUCUCUCUCUAAAAAUUGCAACGCCAUUAUUAUGGUGACACCACCCAUACCCGUCGUCAUAACCACCAAUAUAACACCUAACCUCCGAAAACCUAACACCGUCAGUCGGUUGUGAUGGCGUCGGGUGAAGCGCUUAGACGGUGGUGAUUGGGUCAGUGUUGACAGUGGUGAUAAAGCCGAUUUUCCUCUGCGGUUGUGUGACAACCGUCAUAAAUCCAGGAAGUCGUGUUCGCUGAGGAAAUUUGGGUUACGAUUCUGAAGACGCAAUACAGUGAGUUCAUGUAACAUUUCGUAUUUUCAAACUU
RNAcentral lists this long non-coding RNA (425 nucleotides) under Helianthus annuus (common sunflower). Its description in RNAcentral is "sRNA HanXRQr2_Chr10g0422031". The record is from RNAcentral. Lineage: Eukaryota; Viridiplantae; Streptophyta; Magnoliopsida; Asterales; Asteraceae.